RNAcentral lists this unclassified non-coding RNA (238 nucleotides) under Hevea brasiliensis (rubber tree). The record is from RNAcentral. Lineage: Eukaryota; Viridiplantae; Streptophyta; Magnoliopsida; Malpighiales; Euphorbiaceae.
UGGACAUUAUAUUAGUCGAGCAAAAGAACCAACAUAGCAUAAUAAUCUAGUUCUCAACAAAAAGAUCACAGGAAACAAAGCCAACGACAUAAACAAGCUCAAACAACAAAUGUCUCACUUUAAAAAAAACGCCAAUAAAGCAGUAGAAACACGAACAAAAUCACCUUAAGCCUUCUCUUUAGAAGCAGUAGCAGCAGCUUGACCCCUGAGACGCCCAGUCCUCCUUGCAGCAAUAAGA